UUAAACUCCUGUCAGCAGGGAAAAAAGCGAAUCGGUCGAAUACACCGGUGAGUUGAUUGUACCUGCAGAGGAAGCCCCGGCUAACUCUGUGC
RNAcentral lists this ribosomal RNA (92 nucleotides) under uncultured bacterium. RNAcentral's name for it is "partial 16S ribosomal RNA". The record is from RNAcentral.